RNAcentral lists this long non-coding RNA (228 nucleotides) under Jatropha curcas. Its description in RNAcentral is "long non-coding RNA (JCUR_LNC003480)". Lineage: Eukaryota; Viridiplantae; Streptophyta; Magnoliopsida; Malpighiales; Euphorbiaceae. The record is from RNAcentral.
UGAUCCAAAAGCCCCGCAUCACAUUCAGCUUCUUGCAAGCAAGAAUCUCUCAUUAGAUGACUGUGAUUCAGCUUCUUUUUCUCAAAGCAGAAUUCUUCAACUAAUCCACAGACAUCUCUCUCAUAAGCCGGAAACCUCUCUUUAAAAAUAGAAAAAAAAGAAAUGGGAAAAAAGAGAGGAAAAUUUAAACUUCAAUGUUGUUGGCGGUCAUAAAAUUAGAAAUUAUUA